Molecule: ribosomal RNA, 522 nt
Filed under: uncultured bacterium
Lineage: Bacteria
Description: bacterial SSU rRNA
Rfam family: Bacterial small subunit ribosomal RNA
Source: RNAcentral
AGAGUUUGAUUAUGGCUCAGGAUGAACGCUAGCGGCAGGCCUAAUACAUGCAAGUCGAACGGGAUCGGGCCCCUUCGGGGGCCCUGAGAGUGGCGCACGGGGUGCGCAACGCGUAUGCAACCAACCCCCGACAGGCGGAUAGCCGGUGGAAACGCCGGAUAAUACGCCAUGGUUCCGUGGGAGGGCAUCCUCCUGAGGAUAAAGCCGAGAGGCGGUCGGGGACGGGCAUGCGUCCCAUUAGAUGGUAGGCGGGGUGACGGCCCACCUAGUCCACGAUGGGUAGGGGAUCUGAGAGGACGGUCCCCCCACACUGGUACUGAGACACGGACCAGACUCCUGCGGGAGGCAGCAGUAAGGGAUAUUGGUCAAUGGGGCGGAAGCCUGAACCAACGCCAUGCCGCGUGAGGGAAUGAGGCCCUACGGGUCGUGAACCUCUUUUAUUCGGGGACAAGGACGCGGUCGGGAACCGUGUUUGAGGGUACCGAAGGAAUAAGCGUCGGCUAACUCCGUGCCAGCCGCCGC